This 490-nucleotide ribosomal RNA is filed under the name uncultured bacterium. Its description in RNAcentral is "partial 16S ribosomal RNA". It matches the Rfam family "Bacterial small subunit ribosomal RNA", at positions 29 to 507 of the family's 1533-position model. The record is from RNAcentral.
AUUGAACGCUGGCGGCAGGCCUAACACAUGCAAGUCGAACGGUAACAGGCAGAAGCUUGCUUCUUUGCUGACGAGUGACGGGUGGGUGAGAAGUGUCUGGGCAACCGCCUGCUGUAGGGGGAUAACUACUGAAAACGGUAGCUAACAGCUCAUAACGUCGCCAGACCAAAGAGGGGGGCCAUGGGGCCUCUGGCGAUCGGAUGUGCCCGGCUGGGCUGCGAUUGUGGGUGGGGUUACGGUUCCCAUAGGCGGAGAUGCGUAGCUGGUCUGAGGGGGGGACCAGCCACACGGGAAGUGAGACACGGUCCAGACUCCUACGGGAGGGAGCAGUGGGGAAUAUUGGACAAUGGGCGCAAGCAUGAUGCAGCCAUGCCGCGUGUAUGACGAAGGCCUUCGGGUUGGAAAGUACUCUCAGCGGGGAGGAAGGGAGUAAAGUUAAUACCUUUGCUCAGUGACGUUACCCGCAGAAGAAGCACCGGCUAACUCCGUG